RNAcentral lists this ribosomal RNA (253 nucleotides) under uncultured bacterium. Its description in RNAcentral is "partial 16S ribosomal RNA". It matches the Rfam family "Bacterial small subunit ribosomal RNA", at positions 524 to 776 of the family's 1533-position model. The record is from RNAcentral.
UACGAAGGGGGCUAGCGUUGUUCGGAAUUACUGGGCGUAAAGCGCACGUAGGCGGAUCGAUCAGUCAGGGGUGAAAUCCCAGAGCUCAACUCUGGAACUGCCUUUGAUACUGUCGAUCUGGAGUAUGGAAGAGGUGAGUGGAAUUCCGAGUGUAGAGGUGAAAUUCGUAGAUAUUCGGAGGAACACCGGUGGCGAAGGCGGCCAACUGGACGAAUACUGACGCUGAGACUCGAAAGCGUGGGGAGCAAACAGG